GAUGAACGCUGGCGGCGUGCCUAAUACAUGCAAGUCGAGCGAACGGACGAGAAGCUUGCUCUUCUGAUGUUAGCGGCGGACGGGAGAGUAACACGUGGAUAACAUAACUAUAAGACUGGGAUAACUUCGGGAAACCGGAGCUACUACCGGAUAAUAUUUUGAACCGCAUGGUUCACAAGUGAAAGAAGGUCUUGCUGUCACUUAUAGAUGGAUCAGCGCUGCAUUAGCUAGUUGGUAAGGUAACGGCUUACCAAGGCAACGAUGCAUAGCCGACCUGAGAGGGUGAUCGGCCACACGGUAUCUGAGACACGUUCCAGACUCCUACGGGAGGCAGCAGUAGGGAAUCUUCCGCAAUGGGCGAGAGCCUGACGUAGCAACGCCGCGUGAGUGAUGAUGGUCUUCUGCUCGUAAAACUCUGUUAUUAGGGAAGUACAUAUGUGUAAGUAACUGUGCACAUCUUGACGGUACCGAAUCAGAAAGCCACGGCUAACUACGUG
This 497-nucleotide ribosomal RNA is filed under the name uncultured bacterium. RNAcentral describes it as "partial 16S ribosomal RNA". It matches the Rfam family "Bacterial small subunit ribosomal RNA", at positions 28 to 507 of the family's 1533-position model. The record is from RNAcentral.